RNAcentral lists this long non-coding RNA (281 nucleotides) under Homo sapiens (human). RNAcentral describes it as "non-protein coding lnc-PHF14-7:1". The record is from RNAcentral. Lineage: Eukaryota; Metazoa; Chordata; Mammalia; Primates; Hominidae.
UAACGUUGUAAGCCUAUUUGCUUUUUCCCGUUACUUCAUAUAAUAUCUUAAUUUUUUUGUAGUUUCUUUUUUUAUAAGUCAAAGUUGGCUCUGCCACACCUAGUUACAAAGGAGUCUGGGAAACGUUUUAUUUUGUUUAUUUUAUUUUAGCGUAGCUUUCCCAAGGAAAGAAAGAGCAACAUCAGCUUGGGGGUGGAGGGACAGAGGGUUAGAGGGAUUGCUUUUCAGCCUUUUGGCUAAGAUCAAGUGUGAAGGUUAGAUGGAAAAUAAGAGGAGGUUGG